CCCUUAGAUGUUCUGGGCCGCACGCGCGCUACACUGACGAAGUCAGCGAGCAUGUCCUACGCCGACAGGUGCGGGGAAUCUUGUCAAACUUCGUCGUGAUGGGGAUUGAUUAUUGAAAUUCUUGAUCAUGAACGAGGAAUUCCUAGUAAGUGCAAGUCAUCAGCUUGUACUGAUUACGUCCCUGCCCUUUGUACACACCGCCCGUCGCUCCUACCGAUUUCGAGUGACACGGUGAACCUUUUGGACUGCGACGGUCCCCGAGGCCGCUGCGGGAAGACAAGUAAACCUUAUCACUUAGAGGAAGGAGAAGUCGUAACA
RNAcentral lists this ribosomal RNA (318 nucleotides) under uncultured eukaryote. Its description in RNAcentral is "partial 18S ribosomal RNA". It matches the Rfam family "Eukaryotic small subunit ribosomal RNA", at positions 1470 to 1796 of the family's 1831-position model. The record is from RNAcentral.